AGGGGUAGAAGUAGUAAUAUCUUGAGACCGGCGGACGGGUGCGUAACGCGUAUGCGACUUACCUUAUGCAGGGAGAUAGCCCGGGGAAACCCGGAUUAAUAUUCCAUAAAUCAUAUUUAUUGCAUGAUAGAUAUGUAAAAGCCGAGGUGGCAUAAGAUAGGCAUGCGUCUGAUUAGUUAGUUGGUAGGGUAACGGCCUACCAAGGCGACGAUCAGUAGGGGUUCUGAGAGGAUUAUCCCCCACACUGGUACUGAGACACGGACCAGACUCCUACGGGAGGCAGCAGUGAGGAAUAUUGGUCAAUGGGCGGCAGCCUGAACCAGCCAUUCCGCGUGAAGGAAGAAGGCCUUAUGGGUUGUAAACUUCUUUUCUAUAAGAAGAAAGAUUUCGACGAGUCGGGACUUGACGGUAUUAUAGGAAUAAGCAUCGGCUAACUCCGUGCCAGCAGCCGCGGUAAUACGGAGGAUGCAAGCGUUAUCCGGAUUUAUUGGGUUU
RNAcentral lists this ribosomal RNA (495 nucleotides) under uncultured Bacteroidota bacterium. RNAcentral describes it as "bacterial SSU rRNA". It matches the Rfam family "Bacterial small subunit ribosomal RNA", at positions 65 to 561 of the family's 1533-position model. The record is from RNAcentral. Lineage: Bacteria; Pseudomonadati; Bacteroidota.